GUCCAAGCGGACCUAAGGAGUCGCAGUUGUGAACAGGUUAGAGUUACUUGUUAUUGGUAAAUAGCCACUAUGGAGACUAAGGACCAGAAGAAACACAGAAAGAAAACAGUGGACCCAAAGCUGCAAAGAAAAGAAGUGGCAUCUGCAGGAUCUCCAGCUAGGAGACGAAGAAAAUGCCCAGAAGAGAAAUGCCAGUGCUUUUGCAGUUCAGUCUGCUGUGUGGAUGUCUCGAUCCUUUCACAGGACUCUGGAUUUGAAGACACAAAAGCAUCAUAUUCCAGUGGUUGAUGGAACUCCACUAGAGCCGCCACCAAUAGUGGUAGUGGUGAUGGGGCCUCCAAAGUUGGAAAGAGCACUUUGAUAUAAUGCCUCAUUCGGAACUUCACCUGGCAGAAGUUCACCGAGAUCAGAGGCCCUGUGACGAUCGUGUCAGGUAAAAAGUGCAGACUCACCAUUAUUGAAUGUGGGUGUGACAUUAACAUGAUGAUUGAUCUGGCUAAAGUAGCAGAUGAUCUGGUACUGAUGCUUAUAGAUGCCAGCUUUGGGUUUGAAAUGGAAAUGUUUGAGUUUCUAAACAUCUGUCAAGCACAUGGCUUUCCUAAAAUUCUGGGAGUUCUCACCCACCUCGACUCCUUCAAGCAUAACAAGCAACUGAAGAAGACAAAGAAGCGAUUAAAACACAGGUUCUGGACAGAAGUUUACCAGGUUGCCAAACUGUUCUACCUUUCUGGAAUGGUGCAUGGAGAAUAUCAAAACCAAGAAAUCCACAAUCUGGGCCACUUUAUUACAGUUAUGAAGUUUAGGCCUCUCAUGGCAAACUUUUCACCCUUAUAUCCUGGCAGACAGGAUGGAAGAUUUGACAAACCCGGAGGAUAUCCAAACAAACAUCAAAUGUGACUGGCAGGUGUCACUUUAUGGUUAUUUAAGAGGAGCACACUUGAAAAAUAAAAGCCAAAUUCACAUGCCAGGACAAGGUGGGGCUCACCCAUGAGCUGGUCCAGAGUCUCAUCUCCACCUACUCCACCAUUGAUGCCAAGAUGGCUUCAAGUCGAGUGAUGCUGCUUUCCAAUUCCAAACCACUUGGGUCAGAGGCUAUAGAUAAUCAGGCGUCAGCCUCGAGUUUGACCAGCAGCAGGGGUCGGUGUGUCCCUCUGAAUCUGAGAUCUAUGAGGCAGGAACUGGGACAGGAUGGCAGGAGCACCCAUGGCUGCUGCUGUACAGCCUGCUGAGGUGACUGUUG
This 1240-nucleotide small RNA is filed under the name Pan troglodytes (chimpanzee). RNAcentral describes it as "processed transcript". Lineage: Eukaryota; Metazoa; Chordata; Mammalia; Primates; Hominidae. The record is from RNAcentral.